Molecule: long non-coding RNA, 546 nt
Organism: Gorilla gorilla gorilla (western lowland gorilla)
Lineage: Eukaryota; Metazoa; Chordata; Mammalia; Primates; Hominidae
Exons: 5
Source: RefSeq, a predicted model, not a curated record
AGAAACCAAUGGCUGCAUUAAAUGAGUCUAUAGAAGAUUUUUCAUCUCUGGACAUGUCUAAUUGCAGAGCUCUAAUUGGAGGAACGUGUGGCAGUAUCUGAAAGGAGAAAAUAGAUUAAAAAAUGAUGCUCAAAGAAGUUAAAUAACUGGCCCAAAUUCACAAAAAAAGCAUAAAGUAAGGUGUGGAUGUGAAGGACUCAGGGCCGUGUCCAGCAUGGGCAACAGCAAUAGCAGCACUUAUGCAAUGGAAAGAUGAUCCACAGCCCAGAUGAAAUUAAAGCCUUUGGUGAAAAAGAUAAAUCCAAAGUAAUUUUAUGCUGAUUGAAGAAAAGAAGUAAACAGAGUUCCAGAAAGCAACUGCAAAUACUCAUUUUGAAAAAGAAAACAAAACAAAAACAAGGGAGACAUUUUAAAAGGAAGCAGACUUGGGAGAGGAAGAAGGAGGGAUUUCACAGCUUCAGAGUGGGGACCAUGGAAGUUCAACACAAAGGAUGGCUCUGGAUAAGUCUGUGUGAUGCCCUGUCCUGGGAAAAAACCACUGCAUAG